RNAcentral lists this ribosomal RNA (278 nucleotides) under uncultured Flavobacteriaceae bacterium. RNAcentral's name for it is "partial 23S ribosomal RNA". It matches the Rfam family "Bacterial large subunit ribosomal RNA", at positions 1 to 292 of the family's 2925-position model. The record is from RNAcentral. Lineage: Bacteria; Pseudomonadati; Bacteroidota; Flavobacteriia; Flavobacteriales; Flavobacteriaceae.
GAUAGGCUAAUUAAGAGCGUAAGGGGAAUGCCUUGGCUCUCAGAGGCGAUGAAGGACGUGAUAAGCUGCGAAAAGUUGCGGGGAGUGGCACAUACAUUAUAAUCCGCAAAUGUCCGAAUGGGGAAACCCGAUUAUUUGAAGAAUAAUCAUCCAUUUAUGGAAGCUAACCCGGAGAACUGAAACAUCUAAGUACCCGGAGGAAAAGAAAACAAUAGUGAUUCCGCUAGUAGUGGCGAGCGAACGCGGAAUAGCCCAAACCUGAAUUGUUUCGGCAAUUU